This 107-nucleotide small nuclear RNA is filed under the name Salvator merianae (Argentine black and white tegu). The record is from RNAcentral. Lineage: Eukaryota; Metazoa; Chordata; Lepidosauria; Squamata; Teiidae.
AUGCUUGCUUCAGCAGCACAUAUACUAAAUUUGGAACGAUACAGAGAAGAUUAGCAUGGCCCCUGCACAAGGAUGAUACGCAAAUUCGUGAAGGAUUCCAUAUUUUU